UACGGAGGGUGCAAGCGUUAUCCGGAUUCACUGGGUUUAAAGGGUGCGUAGGUGGGCAAGUAAGUCAGUGGUGAAAUCUCCGGGCUUAACCCGGAAACUGCCAUUGAUACUAUUUGUCUUGAAUACUGUGGAGGUCAGCGGAAUAUGUCAUGUAGCGGUGAAAUGCUUAGAUAUGACAUAGAACACCAAUUGCGAAGGCAGCUGGCUACACAAAUAUUGACGCUCAUGCACGAAAGCGUGGGGAUCAAACAGG
This 253-nucleotide ribosomal RNA is filed under the name uncultured bacterium. RNAcentral describes it as "partial 16S ribosomal RNA". It matches the Rfam family "Bacterial small subunit ribosomal RNA", at positions 524 to 776 of the family's 1533-position model. The record is from RNAcentral.